This 1305-nucleotide long non-coding RNA is filed under the name Nothobranchius furzeri (turquoise killifish). RNAcentral describes it as "lncRNA (ENSNFUG00015021664.1)". The record is from RNAcentral. Lineage: Eukaryota; Metazoa; Chordata; Actinopteri; Cyprinodontiformes; Nothobranchiidae.
AUGGAAUGCUUAUCUAGAUGCAUAUAUCCCACUUAUUCUACUGCAAUCCAAACCAAGUUAAUUAAAACAAUAAAUCAAAUGAAUUUUAAUUUUAUUUGGAGAAAUAAACCACAUUAUAUGAAAAAAGCCUUAAUGGUUAAAAGCAUUGAGGAUGGAGGACUAAAUGUUAUAGACUUUGAUUGCCUAAAUGGGAUGAUAAAGUUAAACUGGAUCAAAUCAUGGCUUAAAGACAUUCACUCCUUCUGGUAUUGUGUUCCUCGAUAUCUGUUUCAAAAAAUGGGAGGACUGGAAUUUCUCUUGAAAGCAGAUUACGGUGUUAACAGAUUACCAGUUAAGUCAUCAAACUUUCAUAAACAAAUUCUUAUGUACUGGGAAAUGAUAAAUACUCACAAUUUCUCACCACACUCUAUCACCCUGUGGAACAACAUAUAUAUUAAUCAUAUAAAUCAAUCACUUUUCUUUAAUGAAUGGCAUGAGAAAGGCAUUUGUUCUAUGUUUCAUAUUUUGGAUCACUCUGGCAACUUUCUCAAUUAUGAAAAUCUUUGCGAAAAAUACAAUUUCAGGGCAAAUAAAUCUGUUUACUUUAAACCUAUUGGAAUAGAUUGGAUAAGUUUAAUCAAUCUAAUACAAGGUGCUUUACUUUAUCAAAACAUUACUCCGUUAUUACCAUCCUUAUCAGUAAAAGACAUUUCAAUACUUGAUGAAAAAUGUAAUAACAAAUUUUUAAGAAAACUCUUAAAUGAUAAUAUGUAUACAGAAAAACCCAAUAGAAAUAACAUAUUACACAAAUUUGAUCAAGCUACAGUUGAAAAAUUUAGAACCUUUUAUUUAAAAUUCUGUAUCUUUCCGAAGAGUAAAGAAACUCAUUUUAAAUUUAUGAAUGAUAUUUAUCCAUCGAAAGAAUUACUCAGAUUACGUUUCAAAAUUAAUGAUAAUAUUUGCACCUUCUGUAACAGUGACAUUGAAAUUGCGAAACAUCUAUUUGUCACAUGUCCUCAGGUGUUUUGGGUGGACAUAAAUAAAUGGUUAAAGAAAGCUUUUCCACUGAUAGAACCAUUUACCAUAGACAAUAUUAUUUUUGGGAUAUUGAUUAAUUAUAAAUUGGAUGAAACAUGUAUUAACACAAUUGUUUGUCUUGCCAAAUUUAAUACACAUAAAUGUAAAUACUUAAAGGUCCCCCAAAAAUUCAUUAUCUUCAUUUGUGAAUUUAAAUUAUAUCUAGAUUCACCAAAAUUACUAACGGGAAAUAAAUCUACAACUAUAUAUAAUAAACUUGUAGCUCUUCCCCUUGCGUUAGAAACGUGA